UACGUAGGGGGCAAGCGUUGUCCGGAAUCAUUGGGCGUAAAGAGCGUGUAGGCGGCCCGAUAAGUCCGCUGUGAAAGUCCAGGGCUCAACCCUGGAAUGCCGGUGGAUACUGUCGGGCUCGAAUCCGGAAGAGGUGAGUGGAAUUCCUGGUGUAGCGGUGAAAUGCGCAGAUAUCAGGAGGAACACCAAUGGCGAAGGCAGCUCACUGGGACGGUAUUGACGCUGAGGAGCGAAAGCCAGGGGAGCAAACGGG
This 253-nucleotide ribosomal RNA is filed under the name uncultured bacterium. RNAcentral's name for it is "partial 16S ribosomal RNA". It matches the Rfam family "Bacterial small subunit ribosomal RNA", at positions 524 to 776 of the family's 1533-position model. The record is from RNAcentral.